RNAcentral lists this ribosomal RNA (952 nucleotides) under uncultured prokaryote. Its description in RNAcentral is "bacterial SSU rRNA". It matches the Rfam family "Bacterial small subunit ribosomal RNA", at positions 44 to 996 of the family's 1533-position model. The record is from RNAcentral.
GAGCUACCAUGCAGUCGGACGGUAGCACAGAGAGCUUGGUCUCUCGUGAGAAGUGUGGGACGCGUGAGUAAUGUGUGGGGAUCUGCCCGAUAUAGGGGGAUAUCCCCUGUGGACGGUGUGUCAUACCGCACAACGUCUCAAGAGCAAAGAGGGGGAGCUUCUGGCCUCUCACUAUCUGAUGAGCCCCCAUGGGAUUUUCUAUUAUGCGGGGUAACGCCCCCCCUAUGCGACAAUACCUAUCUGGGCUGAGAGGAUGACCAGCCACACUGUGACUGAGACACGGUCCACACUCCUACAGGAGGGAGCACUGGGGAAUAUUGUGCAAUGGGCGCAAGCCUGAUGCGCCCCUGUCGCGUGUGUGAAAAAAGCCUUCUGGUUGUGAAGUACUUUUUCCGGGGAGAAAAGCGGUGAGGUUAAUAACCUUACUGAUUGAGGUUUCCCCCACAAAAAACACCGGCUAACUCUCUGCCCCCACCCCCGGGAAUAUAGAGGGUGCGAGCGUUAAUCUCAAUUACUGUGCGUAAAGCGCACACACGCGGUCUGUGAAAUCACAUAUGAAAUCUCCGGGCUUAACCUGUGAACUGUGUUUGAGACUGUGAGGCUUGAGUCUCUCAGAGAGGGGUAGAGUUCUCCGUGUGUCGCUGAAAUGCGUAGAGAUCUGGAGAAAUACCGGUGGGGAAAGCGCCGCCCUGUGCGAAAACAGAGACUCUCGUGCGAGAGCGUGUGGAGCGCACAGAAUUAUAUACCCUGUGAGUCUACGCCCCAUACAAUGUGUACAUGUGGGUUGUUCUCUUGUGGAGUGGCUCCUGGAGAUCUCACGUUAAGACUACCCCCUGGGGGAGACACCCGCAAGGUUUAACUCUCAUGUAUUGUCAGGGGCCCCCACAACGCUGGAGAUGUGUUUUUAUUCUAUGCACACGAAAACCUCACCUACUCUUGUCAUCUCCAGAAU